Long non-coding RNA from Populus nigra (black poplar), 1526 nucleotides. RefSeq lists it as uncharacterized. The record is from RefSeq and is a predicted model, not a curated record. NCBI's taxonomy places the organism in Eukaryota, Viridiplantae, Streptophyta, Magnoliopsida, Malpighiales, Salicaceae. The transcript has 2 exons.
UAUCUGGGGUCUGAUCCCUCCGUGUUCGCCUCCAAUCCACACACAACGCCUGUCUAAUCCUGCGUGUCUUCGCAUAAAGUAUUUGCUCAUCCUUAAACCCAGGGCAUAUCGGCUUGUUCUUAUUACCAAUCCUGAAAGCCACCACUCCAGCAUAGCUUUUUUUUUUUUUUUAAAGUGUGUGUUUAAUAAUAAUAUUAUGCAUGAUGUUUUUUUAAAAUAUUUUUUAAUUAAAAAUACAAGUAUACAGGGAGAACAAACAGGUACAAGACUUUUGGCGGUCAGUUUGUGAGUUUUGCCUUUCAUUCUUGCUUUUCCCCCCUCGGUUUAACCUAUAGCUAGUGGGACUCUCCUAUAUAGCUUCACAAUGAUUUAUUCCGGGUCAGGGUCGGUCCAUUGAUACUCAUGGAAAGGUCGAUCUGAUCAAGACCAUCAGUCUGCAUUGGCGGAUGCGGCAUCAUCAAGAUUCACAAACUUUAAGGCUUGAGUGAGAGGGGCGGUUUACGGUCACCUCCUUUAGUCCAAAGGGUCCUUUUUUAUGGGAAUCUUGAUGAUGCUGCAUCGGCGAAUAUGUGACUAUUCUUCUCUACUGUUGCAUGCCAUAUAUGUCCAGCAAGCUCUUCGAUUUGAUCAAAGGUGGAGUGUAAGUUCAUUUUCAAGCAAAAACCAUCAAGGUAAUAUAUAUUUCCUUAACAUAUCUCAAGCUGCUUGUUGAAUGAAUAAAUUGUGUAGAUUUAUCAUGCCCUUAAGUGAUUUUCACCUGCACAACCUGCUUGCUUAUCGUUGCCAUCCAAGUGAGACUUCAUAAGCCGGUUUUGCUACAGAAAAAUUUUAUAUUGGAACUGAUGAAAGAUAAAAAAAACAUCAUCAGAGCCAGGUUUCUUUCUUCAAUUUCUUGGCAUGGUUUUCACUUUUAAUUAGUUCUCAGAGAAAUAUCACUGAAUAUAUAGUCAUAUAGAGAUCAUAUGAUUAUCCAAAACUCUUGUAACGUUUAAUGUUUUAAUAGAAUGAUUACUCUCCACUUUUAUGGCAUCAAAACUGCACCCAGAAACGUUAUGUAGAAGGUUAAUUUUCCCUCUACCUUAUAAUAAGCUCUUUCUUUCUUUCUUGGAUUCAGAGGAGAGCAUUUAGCUCGAUGAUCAUUUUAUUUUUCUUUUUAAAAUAUUGUUUUCAGGUUAUGUUUAUCCAAUCUAGUUUUUGCUCUGUUCUCAUCUCCCAUAAUUUGGUGAUUUACUCGAGUGUUUAUCUGCUGCAUUUCAACGGAAGUGUGCUGGUUCUCCUUCUUUGGCUGCUGGUCUGGGAUUGUUCGGUGGUCUAUCAGCUUCAUUUGGUUGUGGCAACAUUUUUUCAGUUUAUUGUUCGGUAUCAGUACAAUGAAGAACAGAGGGAGUGGUGUAGUCAACAGGUUUUAUGUUUGUUUUCUAGAGAUUACUAGUUCGAGUUUUAUAAAUUUUAGAAUUAUUAAAGGCUAGCAUGCUUGUUAAUUUCAAAAUUUAUAGAAUUAAUUAAAAUAUACACAAACUUACCCC